This 370-nucleotide ribosomal RNA is filed under the name uncultured Achromobacter sp. RNAcentral's name for it is "bacterial SSU rRNA". It matches the Rfam family "Bacterial small subunit ribosomal RNA", at positions 545 to 916 of the family's 1533-position model. The record is from RNAcentral. Lineage: Bacteria; Pseudomonadati; Pseudomonadota; Betaproteobacteria; Burkholderiales; Alcaligenaceae.
AGAUGAGCAUUGGGUGUAAAGCGUGCGCAGGCGGUUCGGAAAGAAAGAUGUGAAAUCCCAGAGCUUAACUUUGGAACUGCAUUUUUAACUACCGAGCUAGAGUGUGUCAGAGGGAGGUGGAAUUCCGCGUGUAGCAGUGAAAUGCGUAGAUAUGCGGAGGAACACCGAUGGCGAAGGCAGCCUCCUGGGAUAACACUGACGCUCAUGCACGAAAGCGUGGGGAGCAAACAGGAUUAGAUACCCUGGUAGUCCACGCCCUAAACGAUGUCAACUAGCUGUUGGGGCCUUCGGGCCUUGGUAGCGCAGCUAACGCGUGAAGUUGACCGCCUGGGGAGUACGGUCGCAAGAUUAAACUUAAAAAUUAGUACGG